Gallus gallus (chicken) is the source of this 167-nucleotide long non-coding RNA. RefSeq lists it as uncharacterized. The record is from RefSeq and is a predicted model, not a curated record. The transcript has 3 exons. Lineage: Eukaryota; Metazoa; Chordata; Aves; Galliformes; Phasianidae.
GUUUUGGGUCCACGAGUUCUGCUUGCUUUUUGCCAACAUCUCUUUUGAUGAAAGCUCCACACAGGAGGGAACUGUGGGCAUUGACCCAGCUGCCCUCACACGCAAAGUCAAGCAGGCAAACCAGAAGCAAUGCUGUGUUUGCGGCGAGAGGGGGGCUGCCAUCACAU